GACGAACGCUGGCGGCGUGCCUAAUACAUGCAAGUCGAACGCUUCUUUCCUCCCGAGUGCUUGCACUCAAUUGGAAAGAGGAGUGGCGGACGGGUGAGUAACACGUGGGUAACCUACCCAUCAGAGGGGGAUAACACUUGGAAACAGGUGCUAAUACCGCAUAACAGUUUAUGCCGCAUGGCAUAAGAGUGAAAGGCGCUUUCGGGUGUCGCUGAUGGAUGGACCCGCGGUGCAUUAGCUAGUUGGGGAGGUAACGGCUCACCAAGGCGACGAUGCAUAGACGACCUGAGAGGGUGAUCGGCCACACUGGGACUGAGACACGGCCCAGACUCCUACGGGAGGCAGCAGUAGGGAAUCUUCGGCAAAGGACGAAAGUCUGACCGAGCAACGCCGCGUGAGUGAAGAAGGUGUUCGGAUCGUAAAACUCUGUUGUUAGAGAAGAACAAGGACGUUAGUAACUGAACGUCCCCUGACGGUAUCUAACCAGAAAGCCACGGCUAACUACGUG
This 508-nucleotide ribosomal RNA is filed under the name uncultured bacterium. RNAcentral describes it as "partial 16S ribosomal RNA". It matches the Rfam family "Bacterial small subunit ribosomal RNA", at positions 28 to 507 of the family's 1533-position model. The record is from RNAcentral.